RNAcentral lists this long non-coding RNA (968 nucleotides) under Brassica napus (rape). Its description in RNAcentral is "long non-coding RNA (BNAP_LNC022201)". Lineage: Eukaryota; Viridiplantae; Streptophyta; Magnoliopsida; Brassicales; Brassicaceae. The record is from RNAcentral.
CGAACAAGCGUAUUGAUACUCGCAUCCCACGUUGAAUAUGUCUUGAUCAGACACGCGUUCAAGGGAGUCGACCGUGUUGCGAUUUAAACCAACACGGCCGAGACAAUGACUCCAACUCACCCUGUAAUUUGCUAAGUAAGAUUUGGUCCGCCGAACGCUUGAAAAUUACGUUAGGGUCGAUUUGGAACCAAAAACGUCGAAAACUCAUAAUUAACAACCAAACUCAAAUGACGAACGAACGCGAGUCAAAGAAAUCGACCGAGACAAAGUCAUGACGAGCUAAACACUACGACGAUUCAAUAUCUUGAACAACGUUUAUACCAAGCAAACAGUCACUUCGAAUCUUGAGAAAUCAUGUAUUUGAUAGACAAGUACAAUUAAAGGAAAACAGUUAAUGCAAUUCGAUGAGUUGGAACAAAACAGAAGAAAAACAACAAAUUAGAAGCCUCGAAAGGCAAAAAUCUAAAGGCAACAACACAAGUCCUACGAGACUAAAAAAAACAACAAACAAAAAAGACUAAGCUUCCUGAUCACUCUCGCGUUCGUUGAGGACGGAGAGCUCCGAAGCCCUGACGCUCGACUCACGAGCAGCCGGAAAAACUUGCGCUUCAACUGGUCUCGGGACGACCUCUGGAUCAGCCAAAGGACCUUCAAGAAGAGGCGCUGGGUCUUCGCGCCGUUCUUCAGUCGGAUGAGUAGGCGGAACGUGAAGACUCGCUGCAGUCUCCGGAUCGAUCAAGCCGGCGUUGGACCCAUAUGGAUCGAGACUCGCCAAGAUUCGAGCAUCCACAAACUGAGAGUCCAAUACGAGAGGAGAAAGUGUGAGAUCUUCCUCGGGUAUCUCACCCACCCUAAGCUUCUCGGCUUCCUCCUCGUAUUUCUUCUCUUGCUCGGCGAAUAUCUCGAUAGUAGCUUGCGAGAUGUCGCUCCCAGCCCUCCUCAAAGCCUCGAGGCAUUUCCUGGUUCCG